Molecule: long non-coding RNA, 319 nt
Filed under: Nicotiana benthamiana
Lineage: Eukaryota; Viridiplantae; Streptophyta; Magnoliopsida; Solanales; Solanaceae
Description: long non-coding RNA (NBEN_LNC011465)
Source: RNAcentral
CGGGGAAUAUAAGUCCGCCUCCCAAGACUACUCAAUCCCUGCUCUAUGUCCUGCUGCUGACCUUAGCGAGACAAUGGGAGUGCGUCUCAUUUGAAUAGAAAGGCUUUACCUCUCUUGUUGGACGGGACUAAAAAGUCUUUUUCAAAAGAAAAGUCUUCCGACUGAACAAAGGGAGCAGGCUGGAUACUAAAAGAAUUCGAUACAGCGGGGGGGUUCCCCUAUUUGAUAAUACUUUUUUCAAAUGCUGACAUGACAGGGGAAAGAGGCGAAGUGGCUUUUGAUAAUUAGCGCUUUUUAUUCUGUGCUAGCGACCCUGUUU